This 199-nucleotide unclassified non-coding RNA is filed under the name uncultured fungus. Its description in RNAcentral is "sequence contains ITS1". The record is from RNAcentral. Lineage: Eukaryota; Fungi.
GUAUAUAUUAUACAGGGCACAACAUUCUAUUAACAUACAUUGUGGAAAAAUGAAGCAACAUAGACCCCGAAAGGUCUACAAAAGGUGCACAGGUGGAGAUAUAAAGAUGACAAGGUGUGCACAUUGCUCCCUGGAGAACCAGCAACAACCCAUCAGGUUUAUUUCAAUAAUGAUCCUUCCGCAGGUUCACCUACGGAAA